CAGGGGGUGCAAACGUUGCUCGGAAUUAUUGGGCGUAAAGCGCGCGUAGGCGGCCACUUAAGUCGGAUGUGAAAGCCCCUGGCUCAACUGGGGAAGUGCACCCGAAACUGAAUGGCUUGAAUGCAAAAGAGGGUCGCGGAAUUCCCGGUGUAGAGGUGAAAUUCGUAGAUAUCGGGAGGAACACCGGUGGCGAAGGCGGCGACCUGGGUUGACAUUGACGCUGAGGCGCGAAAGCGUGGGGAGCAAACAGGAUUAGAUACCCUGGUAGUCCACGCCGUAAACGAUGGGUGCUAGAUGUUUCUGGUAUUGACCCCGAAGGCGUCGUAGCUAACGCGUUAAGCACCCCGCCUGGGAAGUACGGCCGCAAGGCUA
RNAcentral lists this ribosomal RNA (372 nucleotides) under uncultured organism. RNAcentral's name for it is "bacterial SSU rRNA". It matches the Rfam family "Bacterial small subunit ribosomal RNA", at positions 526 to 896 of the family's 1533-position model. The record is from RNAcentral.